RNAcentral lists this long non-coding RNA (3388 nucleotides) under Numida meleagris (helmeted guineafowl). Its description in RNAcentral is "lncRNA (ENSNMEG00000006089.1)". The record is from RNAcentral. Lineage: Eukaryota; Metazoa; Chordata; Aves; Galliformes; Numididae.
AUGAUCCCAGACAGGGGGUGGGGGGGUGAGGAAAGNNNNNNNNNNNNNNNNNNNNNNNNNNNNNNNNNNNNNNNNNNNNNGGGGAGGGGAGGGGAGGGGAGGGGAGAGAGCACACUUUUCUUCAGAAUUUCACAGGGCUACAGUUUACAUAUUCUUGAGGAUUCCUUUUGUCCAGUUCCAGGAAAGUCCAGCAGUCAUUCUUACUGCUUGCUCCAGCAUGAAGUAGGGAAAGGGGCUGAUUGCAGCCUUCCAGGAGGAGCCAGAAGGUCCUCUCCUCAUUCUCCUUCAACACCUGGCAUUGUGCCCCCCUCCACAAACAUUUCUCUAGGAAUGUCUUAAAACCACUCUGCUUUCAAACCUGGCCUGGGUGAGUAUGGCCAUUAUACUCCUAAUUCACCUGGGUUUAUGACAGAGUUGAUAUUACUUGUCAGCACCAUGCUGUGACAGCUGUGAAGGUUAAUAUGUUCUUCAGUCACUGCUGAAAACUGAGAUUUUGGUUUUACUAGUGGUGGCUACUACUCACCUCAGCUCUACACGAAUGGAAUUGAUAUCUUCCUGUUCUGUAGAAUGUGCAAAAUCAAGUACUUUGUGUAGUUUGUAUGGGCAUGACACCUAAAAUAUAUUUGUUGAAAGAGAAUCCCUGUAAAGCAACCUCACAGUCCCCAUCCUCAGGCUAGACCUGGAAGGACUUUGCAAUCUACCAAAUAUGCUAAUUUGUUAAUAUGUUUGUAUGUGAUGAAGAUCCAUUCUAAAGUAUUGCUGGCUUAAAAAAAUUGAAAUCUAAACAUUGUUAACUAAUCACAGAAAUGCAUGCUAAAGAGGCUACUGAUUUCAAAGAGAAACAUUAAUGCUUAAAGUAGACUAUAAUAGUAUGUGGUUAGAAAGAACAGCUGAGGUUUGAUUCCCUUAAUUUCUUUGAACUAAAGGAUGAAAAGGAUAUAAUUCUGAAGUUCUGACUCUUGUAAAAUGCUUCAUAAUGCUUCUGAGGCCAUAAGCUGUAGCUGUGAUCACACUGAAAUACUUGUGUACCAGUCACCAAGGUAAGAAGGACAACAGUGUUCAAAGAAAGACCACGACUGAUACAAAAAAAAUGUGAACUCUAUAAAUUCUAGUGAGGAGAUUUAUUUAAAAAAAAAAUGGCAUCAAUCCCCAUACUUGGAAGUAAAAGGCCACUUCUAAUUAGAAAGUUUAGGAUGAAAUUCCUGCGAUGGUAGGGAAUCACACUUCUGAGGCAUCUGAUAACAGAUAAUGUUAGAGACAGAGAUGAUAAAUUAACUGUAUCUCAGAGCAGACUGAGGAUAGAUAUCCUUUGUUCCCAGUUUCAAAACAAAGGAGAUGUCCACCAGCAGAAAGCAUGGAAGAUUUAUUGUAUGAGAUCAAGGGCUUACUUUGCCUGGUGCUGCUUCAGCCAGAGGCCAACAGGAAAGUCUUUAAGAAAGGAAGGAUGCAGCCUUUUUCUUGUAAGUGCUAGGAUGUUCAGAGGGAAAUAGUCACCCUUGCUAGGCAUAGGCAUCUAAUUUACACUUCCAAGUUUGGAGGAAUUCUCCCCAUGAUUCUGGAGCCCCAAGAGAGGCCUCCUCUGCUCAUGGGUACCAGGUUGUACCUAAGUACAGCAGUGUUCUUACCAUGAGAUCAUAGAAUCACAGAAACAUUUGCAUUGGAAGGACCCUUAACAGUCACCUCGUCCAACUCCCCUGCAGUGAACAGGGACACCUGCAGCUAGAUCAGGUUGGUCAGAGACCCAUCCAGCCUGACCUUGAAUGUCUUGAAGGCGUGGGGCAUCCACCAACUCUCUGGGCAAUGUUUACCUCACACUCAAAGUUUUGAUAUACUCCCUUAGGGAUAUUUAUAUGACAACACCCUGACUCUGACAUGAAACCCCUGGGCACCAUCAUACACAGAAAAUACCAUGGAUCUCUGCUAAAACCAAGGGUUACAAGAUCACAGGUUUUACAGCUGAAUCCAUACGUACAGCCACUGUGCUCCAGUGUUUGAAAGAAGUAACAUAAAAAAAUGACAUGCUGCCAAGCUAAUUUUUUUUGACACUAUGAAGAGCAUUCAAACUGGUGGCACAUGUUAGCAGAAAGCUUUCUUCUUAACAGGAAAGUUUGAGCAGAAAUACCUAGUGCUGAGCACAUUUUGAUGUCUAAGUUAGUGUGGUUAAGAGCUUCUGAUCUAUUAGAAAGAAUAAGCACUUUAGCAGUGCUAGAGAAAGCCAUAAAGUAAGCUUCUUCUCAUCACACUGUCACUAUAUUUGAACGGUAUUAUCCCUAUGUGGGAAAAGUUGAUGGUAAAAGCAUUCAGAUUUUGGCCAAAUAAUUAAAUGGAAAUUAUGAAUUAUAUUCAUGCUACUCAGAUAUGUCUACCCUUUUCUUAAAGCAGAAAAAGGAUUCCAAGUUUCUAAUUUUUAGAUCAUUAAUUUGAAGUCCUGUCCCAAGAUGCUGUAGUACUUACAAUUGUUAUUUUAUAAGGAUAAUCACUGAGAUUUUGCUGGUUACUUAGUCUUGGAAAUCGCUUCAAAACUUGAUGACAUGUACUUUGUUUUUAUUUUAUUUUUAUUGAAUUACGAAGAUUUGCCAAUGCCGACAUUUUGCAGAGGUGUCACAGGUUCACUACAGUUUUCAAGAGCAUCCAAAUCUCAUUUUAAUUGUAGAAGAAAAAGGAAUUGAGAAAACAGAUCUUUUCCAUUUAAAAAGGGGCGUUUCAGUAUGCUUCCUUUCCAAGAUGCCUGGAUAGCCUCUUUUUAAAUUCUACCCCAGAAUGAAAACAAAUUUUGAAACUGCAGCAUUUUGUUAUGUACUGGAACUGCCGCCCACUGGCCAACUCCGCUUUUUUAUUGAAUCCUCGUGUUCCAUCUAAUGAACACUUUGUACUGUGUGUUCCCAAGUCUGAGAUGACAGAAAAUCUGACAACUAUUAUGAAUACAUAUAUAUUUCUUUAUUGGCUGUUUUCUAUGGGGUUCAUAGGUGGGAGAAAUCCUUCUGUGAACUGGAUUUAAAAACUACAGAUUUGAAUUAAUUAAAAAAAGAAAAAGAAACACAGAAUACCAGAAGAAAAUUGAAAAGGAAAAUAUUUCAGCAAUCAUACUGUUUAAUUGCCAUUUGAUUGAUGCACUGUUCCUUAUAUUUUUGUAUAAAGGUAUAAAAACACAUAUAUAGACGAUAUGACUAUACAUAUUAUGGAAGUUUUUAAAACUUCUUUACUUCCCCCAGGACCCCUAAAAAAUCUAUUUUAAAGUCUAAAUUUAAAUAGGACUUCUUGUAGCACACAUAUAAGCUGCACAUACAAAUUGCCAGAAUGUAUCUCACCACUUAGGGUUUUGGUUUACAGCUCUGUUGUUUGGGGAUAGUUUAAUAAACAAGGAUUGGGAAAUCCUAAUUACGUCUGU